AAAGAUUAAGCCAUGCAUGUCUAAGUAUACGCAAAUUAUACUGUGAAACUGCGAAUGGCUCAUUAAAUCAGUUAUAGUUUAUUUGAUGUUUCUUGCUACAUGGAUAACUGUGGUAAUUCUAGAGCUAAUACAUGCGCAGAAAGCCCCGACUUCGGAAGGGGUGUAUUUAUUAGAUAAGAACCAUCCUCCUCGGAGUUUGGUGAUUCAUAAUAACUUCUCGAAUCGCACGGCCUUGUGCUGGCGAUGCUUCAUUCAAAUAUCUGCCCCAUCAACUGUCGAUGGUAGGAUAGAGGCCUACCAUGGUUG
RNAcentral lists this ribosomal RNA (306 nucleotides) under uncultured bacterium. RNAcentral describes it as "SSU rRNA". It matches the Rfam family "Eukaryotic small subunit ribosomal RNA", at positions 39 to 352 of the family's 1831-position model. The record is from RNAcentral. RNAcentral also lists the same sequence under 1 other name.